AUGGACAGUUUAGGGAAAGACCAUGAUUAUUCCAACACUUCUCUGCCUUCCUCCACAGCCCACGAGGAGAACGCUGAGCCAGGUGCCACCAUGUCCCGCCGCUUGAGAGACCGGGAGCUGCUCCGGAAGAGAAAGGCAGAAGCCAAGGAGAAGGAUUCAAUUCAGUGGGCUCUGGGGGAGCAUGAGAGGAGCAAGCGGCAGAGGAGGGGCCGAGGUGCCAGGCGAGGAAAGGGCCGCGAGCAUGUCGUGGAGCCCACACCACAGCCAAAACCACAGCCAAACCCUCAGCCCCCAAAGAAGGAGGAAGCUGAGACGAUGUCCUCCAUGGUGAUGCAGCAAGCCGAGUCUCCCCAGAUGGACGUGCAGGACCUGUUUUCUGGGGUGCAGCUGGCAGAUCUGGAAGGGAUGCUGGGAUCUGGGAGCCAGAGUCCCCUGGGUGAGCCCUGGAAAGCUGCCGUCCCCAUGGGAUGCUGGGGGGGCCGCGGGGAGGGGCUGCAGUGACAGAUCCUGAUCUCCAAGCCAUGGGGAGGGGUAGAAAGCCCACUGCACCUCUCUGGGAAUACAGGUCAGCAAGAAAAACACUGUACCCCAAACUGUUGGUUCACAGACGAGCGUCCGCCUCGGGUCCUCUUCUGUCUGAAACUAAAGAAAGUGACCAGCAGGCCAUAGCUGGGCAGCGGGACAGCGGUUAAUUACCCAUAGCGGUGGGUCACCGUGCUCCCCACUCCUCUGCCAAGAGCCAGACCAGGGCAGGGGUGCUUUGAAAAGAAGAGGCAACCUCCCGAGCACAGAGCAGGUCAGGGAGCCCUGGCCACUGCCUGCCCACAGCCCACCGGUCCCGGGGUGGUGGGGAGGGGAAGGGGCAGCAGCAGCCAGGCACGGUGUGUGCAGGAGACCUGCCGUGGUGGGGCUGGCCAGAACCACAGUCCUUCCAGCACACCGCAGGGCUUCUGAUGCCCUUGUGCCACCGCUGUCCUGCACCAGCUCCAGCCCCUGGUCCUGAGACCCCAACAUGGCAAGAAUCAGGGCUGCUCUUAUUUGCCUUCUGCCAUUAAACCCAUUUAAACCCCAGAACCCAGGGGGCCAGCACAUCCUCUGGAAGCCACACGGGCCAGCAGGAGGUGCUUCACAUCACGGGCACCCCGCGGCAGUGACCUGUCUCUGGUGUCCUUUGCAGGUGAAGAGGACAUGCUGAAACUGGCAGACGAAAUACAAGACGUAUUGAAUACUUCGCUGGAAAAGAACGAAUCGGAUAGCGAGAUGUACUCAUCGAGUCUAUUUUAAAGUUUUAUUUUAAAAUAUAUAUGUAUUCUUCUAAUUUUUAUGACUAAGAAAUACUGGAAAGCCUUGCAGGGAGACUUAAAAGCUGUUCCUUCCUCGGGAACAAUAAAAAACUGACUCUCUCUCCA
This 1409-nucleotide long non-coding RNA is filed under the name Numida meleagris (helmeted guineafowl). RNAcentral describes it as "lncRNA (ENSNMEG00000010289.1)". Lineage: Eukaryota; Metazoa; Chordata; Aves; Galliformes; Numididae. The record is from RNAcentral.